CCUACGGGAGGCAGCAGUGGGGAAUAUUGCACAAUGGGGGAAACCCUGAUGCAGCGACGCCGCGUGGGUGAAGAAGGGUUUCGGUGUGUAAAGCCCUAUCAGCAGGGAAGAAAAUGGCGGUUACUUAAGAAAAAGCCCCGGCUAACUACGUGCCAGCAGCCGCGGUAAUACGGAGGGGGCAAGCGUUACUCGGAAUUACUGGGGGUAAAGGGAGCGGAGACGGGGCUGCAAGUCAGGAGUGAAAUGCCAGGGCUUAACCCCGGAACUGCUUUUGAAACUGGCAUGCUAGAGUGCGGGAGAGGUAGGUGGAAUUCCUGGUGUAGCGGUGAAAUGCGUAGAUAUCAGGAGGAACACUGGUGGCGAAGGCGGCCUGCUGGACAGUAACUGACGUUGAGGCGCGAAAGCGUGGGGAGCAAACAGGAUUAGAUACCCCGGUAGUC
Molecule: ribosomal RNA, 440 nt
Filed under: uncultured bacterium
Lineage: Bacteria
Description: partial 16S ribosomal RNA
Rfam family: Bacterial small subunit ribosomal RNA
Source: RNAcentral